This 549-nucleotide ribosomal RNA is filed under the name uncultured bacterium. RNAcentral's name for it is "bacterial SSU rRNA". It matches the Rfam family "Bacterial small subunit ribosomal RNA", at positions 355 to 895 of the family's 1533-position model. The record is from RNAcentral.
UAGGGAAUCUUCGGCAAUGGGGGCAACCCUGACCGAGCAACGCCGCGUGAGUGAAGAAGGUUUUCGGAUCGUAAAGCUCUGUUGUAAGUCAAGAACGAGUGUGAGAGUGGAAAGUUCACACUGUGACGGUAGCUUACCAGAAAGGGACGGCUAACUACGUGCCAGCAGCCGCGGUAAUACGUAGGUCCCGAGCGUUGUCCGGAUUUAUUGGGCGUAAAGCGAGCGCAGGCGGUUUGAUAAGUCUGAAGUUAAAGGCUGUGGCUCAACCAUAGUUCGCUUUGGAAACUGUCAAACUUGAGUGCAGAAGGGGAGAGUGGAAUUCCAUGUGUAGCGGUGAAAUGCGUAGAUAUAUGGAGGAACACCGGUGGCGAAAGCGGCUCUCUGGUCUGUAACUGACGCUGAGGCUCGAAAGCGUGGGGAGCGAACAGGAUUAGAUACCCUGGUAGUCCACGCCGUAAACGAUGAGUGCUAGGUGUUGGGUCCUUUCCGGGAUUCAGUGCCGCAGCUAACGCAUUAAGCACUCCGCCUGGGGAGUACGACCGCAAGGUU